GGUUGCGAUCAUACCAUCACUAAUGCACCGGAUCCCAUCAGAACUCCGCAGUUAAGCGUGCUUGGGCGAGAGUAGUACUAGGAUGGGUGACCCCCUGGGAAGUCCUCGUGUUGCAACCC
RNAcentral lists this ribosomal RNA (119 nucleotides) under Helianthus annuus (common sunflower). The record is from RNAcentral. Lineage: Eukaryota; Viridiplantae; Streptophyta; Magnoliopsida; Asterales; Asteraceae.